RNAcentral lists this ribosomal RNA (128 nucleotides) under uncultured eukaryote. RNAcentral's name for it is "partial small subunit ribosomal RNA". It matches the Rfam family "Eukaryotic small subunit ribosomal RNA", at positions 1651 to 1777 of the family's 1831-position model. The record is from RNAcentral.
CCCUGCCCUUUGUACACACCGCCCGUCGCUCCUACCGAUUGGGUGUGCUGGUGAAAUGUUCGGAUUGGCGGGUCGUGGCGGUUUCCGCCCCUUCCUGCCGAGAAGUUCAUUAAACCCUCCCACCUAGA